AACUGUGGUGGGACCAGGAGUGGGGCUUUCAUGUGUCCCUCCCCUCCUGGGCUCACGCUUUCUCCAUGUGCAGGGGCCACCAGGACCCACUGGCCGCCGAGGAGAGAAGGGGGAGCCUGGUCGCCCUGGAGACCCUGCAGUGGGACCGAUAGGUGCUGGAGCCAAAGGAGAGAAGGCAAGUCUGGCGAGAGUGAAGGGAGGCUGUUACAGGUUGAGCUCAAGGUCGUGGGGCCUACCUGGAGGCCCCUGGAGGUCAUGAGGAUUAUGGCAUGAUUGCUGGCUGGUGGGGGUCACAGAGCCUGGGGCUGACACUGAUGGUCUUUGUCACCUCUAGGGAGAUGUGGGGCCGGCUGGGCCCAAAGGAGCUACUGGAGUCAAAGGAGAGCGGGUGAGUGCAGGGAAGUGUUUAGGGGGUAGGGCAGGUGAAAGUUGUGUCUCCUGACCUCUGACCCUUCCUCCCACAGGGCCCACCUGGCUUGGUUCUUUCUGGAGACCCUGGCCCCAAGGGAGACCCUGGAGACCGGGUGAGUAACUGGGGAUAGGGAGUGUGACAGAAGGAGAUGAGGUGGUGCCUGGGACUAAGCCCUGUCCUCCCU
Camelus dromedarius (Arabian camel) is the source of this 596-nucleotide long non-coding RNA. Lineage: Eukaryota; Metazoa; Chordata; Mammalia; Artiodactyla; Camelidae. The record is from Ensembl.